This 332-nucleotide ribosomal RNA is filed under the name uncultured bacterium. Its description in RNAcentral is "bacterial SSU rRNA". It matches the Rfam family "Bacterial small subunit ribosomal RNA", at positions 568 to 898 of the family's 1533-position model. The record is from RNAcentral.
UGCGUAGGCGGUUUGGUAAGUCUUAUGUGAAAUCUAUGGGCUCAACUCAUAGACUGCAUGAGAAACUGCCGGGCUCGAGUGUGGGAGAGGUGAGUGGAAUUUCCGGUGUAGCGGUGAAAUGCGUAGAUAUCGGAAGGAACACCUGUGGCGAAAGCGGCUCACUGGACCAUAACUGACGCUGAUGCACGAAAGCUAGGGGAGCAAACAGGAUUAGAUACCCUGGUAGUCCUAGCCCUAAACCAUGAUUGCUUGGUGUGACGGGUACCCAAUCCCGCCGUGCCGUAGCUAACGCGUUAAGCAAUCCGCCUGGGGAGUACGGUCGCAAGGCUGAA